GACGUAGGGGGCCAGCGUUGUUCGGAAUUACUGGGUGUAAAGGGUUCGUAGGCGGUGCGGCAAGUUGGGAGUGAAAUCUCUGGGCUUAACCCAGAGGCUGCUUCCAAAACUGCUGUGCUUGAGUGUGGGAGAGGCGCGUGGAAUUGCAGGUGUAGCGGUGAAAUGCGUAGAUAUCGGGAGGAACACCUGUGGCGAAAGCGGCUCACUGGACCAUAACUGACGCUGAUGCACGAAAGCGUGGGGAGCAAACAGG
RNAcentral lists this ribosomal RNA (253 nucleotides) under uncultured prokaryote. RNAcentral's name for it is "partial 16S ribosomal RNA". It matches the Rfam family "Bacterial small subunit ribosomal RNA", at positions 524 to 776 of the family's 1533-position model. The record is from RNAcentral.